Brassica rapa (field mustard) is the source of this 11097-nucleotide long non-coding RNA. RefSeq lists it as uncharacterized. NCBI's taxonomy places the organism in Eukaryota, Viridiplantae, Streptophyta, Magnoliopsida, Brassicales, Brassicaceae. The record is from RefSeq and is a predicted model, not a curated record.
UUCCUUCGACUUCAAAGUUUAAUUAAUUUAAACAAAUCUCUUAACGGUAUUUGCUUAGUAUUAUUCGACGGAUUGAUUAUGAAUAUUCGAGCGAGUGCUAUCCUUAUAUAUUAAUUGAAAAACAUUACAAUAUUGUUUUGUAUCCACGUGUCAAUAUAAGAAUGAAAUUCAGAAUUUUAAGAGAAAUAUGUUGGUCCAUCUUAACUUAUAUUAUACUUUUUAUUAAACUAACUAUUAAAAUGAUAAAUAGUGUACAAAAAAAUAUUUUUGCACUUUCCUUAAAUAAAAACUACGGAAUUGCCUUAUAUGAUUAACGUAUAUAUGAUAAUUAAUGAUUAUGAAUUAUAAAUAUUUGAUAAUAUUUUUUGUAUCUUAGGCUCUUAGCUCUUUUUUGUUUAAUUUUAUAUUAUUGAAAGAUAUUAAACAACCACAUUAACCGUAUUGUCUACGAGACAUUUGUCUCUGAUGACAGUUUGUCCUGUGGGAAUUCUGUUAAAAGGUGAGGUCAUUAGGUUCGAGGUGCAUCAACAAGCUAAUUAUGGAGUUAGUGAGAACUCAUAAUGGAGAGGCUGGAGUCUAUUGGACAGAUGGUCCACGGGACAGGUUGUCACAAUUUCGUUGGUUUCUUUGGACUGUUACUGAUUUAAAUGCCGAAUAGAUUAAAAGAUAUUUUUCUAUCAUAUUUUACGUGUCUAUUCCUUGUGCAUGAAACUUUGCUUUUUAAAAUAUGUAUUUUCUAUACAAUAUAUAUUAACCGCUAAAAAUAAGAGAAAAAUCUAUAAAAGUUUUUAAAAUAUCAAACUUAGGCAAUGUGACUGUUACAGCUAUUAAUCAGUUUGUUUAAAAAAAAAUUAAAAUUGACUUAGAAAUUUAGAAAGUCAAGAGCAUAAAUUUUAGCGAUAAAAGAUAUGAGCAAUUUUCUUUAUAAAACAUGAUAACUCAAUGAUGCACUCAUUCUCUCAAAAUAAAAUGCAAAUAGAACUCUUACAUAUUUUUUUGAAAAAGAACUCUUACAUAUUUUGCAGCUCACUUUUAACAAACAGGUGACUUAUAUUAGUCGUAAGUCAAGAACAAAAAUCCUAAAAACAUUUUUCGUGCUCAACAGUGACAUGAUAAUUACACGAUAACUUAAGGAAUCCGCUCAUCCAAUGAAAGACUGAGAAAAAUAAAAUCAUAAAAUCAUAAAAUCUAGCCAAUACUAUGGAUGACGUCAUGGGCACACGUAAGUGCAUGUGCAUCACCAAUUCGAGCAAUUUUCUUUAUAAAACAUGAUAACUCAGUGAUGCACUCAUUCUCUCAAAAUAAAAUGCAAAUAGAACUCUUUACAUAUUUUUUUGAAAAAGAACUCUUACAUAUUUUGCAGCUCACUUUUAACAAACAGGUGACUUAUAUUAGUCGUAAGUCAAGAACAAAAAUCCUAAAAACAUCUUUCGUGCUCAACAGUGACAUGAUAAUUACACGAUAACUUAAGGAAUCCGCUCAUCCAAUGAAAGACUGAGAAAAAUAAAAUCAUAAAAUCUAGCCAAUACUAUGGAUGACGUCAUGGGCACACGUAAGUGCAUGUGCAUCACCAAUUCGUAAAACCAUUUUCAUAUAAAAAUUACACUACUAAAUUUUUUUAUUUUUCCAACUACAACACCAAAAUUAUAUUUCAUAUUUAUAUUAUUAAACUACAUUUUUAUUUUUCAAUAUAUAUAAUAACUAAUUUUUUUUAUAUAACUAUAUUGCACAUAAAUUAUCACACUAAAAUAUUUGUUUUUAAAAUAAAUAUUUACUAUUUUAUUAAUAAUAAUGAUAAAAUAAUUAAUUAAAAAAAUAUUUUGAUAUAUGUAAUAUAUUAAUUAUAUAUUUAGUUCUAUUUUAUAUGUAUUUCUUUUGUUACUGAAGUUUAUUUAACUAAUAUUUUGUUAAUAAAAUUUGUGAAUAGAGUUUAGUGUUGCGAGUAAUACUCAAAUUUAAGCUUAAUGCAAUCGUGUAAUUUUAUACUAAAAUCGUGUAGGUUUUAGAGUUGGAUUGUUGAAGAUAUCUUAGUGCAAAAGUUACACUAAAACAAGUUAUGAAAAAAGAGUUACACUAAAUGAUGUUUUACUAUUGGAAAUAACCUAAAACACCUAUUUGUUAUUGUUUUUUUAUUAAAAUAAGAAGAAGAAAAAACAUAUUGUCCCCAAUCAAAUUUGUUUUUAUUAUUUUUAAUACUAUAGCUCUAGCUGAAAUUUUGUUUGGAUCCGCCUUUGGACGACGUGGUGGUCGGAUCUACAGAGCUGAAGGAUUGGUCAACAAAAUUUUGAAUAUUCACUUGCUUGUUUUCUUGCUUUUCUUCUUGUCAAUAGUGUCAGGGGGCCUUUGGUUUCAGUAUAUAUAUAUAUAUAUAUAUAUAUAUAUGGAUAAUAAUAAUUAUAAUUGUGACAUUGUGAAUAUAGUAGGUCCUACAACAAAAUUUUGAAUAUUUAAGGUAUAUAUAUAUAUGUAGAAAUAUAUUUGAUGAUGUGGGACAUUGUAAAUAUACUUUAAACUUCACAGCUGUCUAUGAAUAUAACUCGAGGUCCUGCUAUCAAUGUUGAUUUUAGACAGGCAUUUUUUUAUACAUCGAAAGGCUGUUCUAUUACUCAAGCUAGAGGUGGUCUGGGAAUCCAGACCGGAAUAGAACAAUCAACAAAAACUAGAUUUUCUAUGAAAACCUCGAGCGGUCUUUGCUAAUGCGUCUGCUGUCUUGUUCUGCGUCCUUGGUACAUGAAAUAUCUUGAAGUUUGGAAAGCGUCCUUGAAUAGCUGCUACCUCUGAUAACUCCAUGGAGAAACUUGGCCAUGCUCUGGGGUCGUUGAUCAUCGAGAUUAUGUCCUUACAGUCUAUUCCGAAGUUCUGGCAUGAUGUGUGUUGGCUCAUAUUCUCCAUUGCCCAUAUUAGUGUAUUUUGUGGCAUUUGUUAUUCGCUUCACUACUAUGAAUGAUAUGUGUUCGCCCGGCUGUAUCAUUAAUUUCUUAGUUAACUUUUUUGUAUGAACACACCCAUGCUUAGAUAACUAAUAUUUAAUAGGAAAUUUUAUCGUAUGACCACCAAAAAAUUAUAAUUCAUCUUCUAAUCAAUUACUUUAAAUUUCAUCGAUAUAUGAUGUAUUAUAUGUAUAAUGUAGUUUUACCCUUCCACUCGACCGAUGCAACCUGCGAAAAAAAAUAAAUAUAAGUUAGUUAGUAUUUACUGAACAAUGUAAAUGUGGUUCUUCUUUUGCCACAAACAAUUAAUCCAAGUAAAUUUGUAUAUGAUAAAAUUGAGAAAACUGAAUAGUUUCUUUCUCACUUUUGAGUUUUGUUCGACAUUGAAAACACAUCGAUGAUUGGAGGAGCAGACUGGUUGUGACGUCUCUGUCGGAAAAAGAUUCGCCAAUUCAAAAAUCGACAAUCGCAACGACGGCAUAGUGGCUCAGUGAAUAAAUCUUCCCGAUUCCAUAUUUUCCAGUGAGUGAAGACGGUAUGUGAAAUCAUGUAAGUCUUGAUUUGGGAUUCAGUAGUUUUACUACCCCAUCGAAAUCGAAUCAGAAAUAGCAAAUCUCACAUGUAACGGAAAAUAACUUCACUUUAAGAUAUCUCAAAUCUUUUAGUCUGGGUUAUUCGAAACACAAACAACUUGAAAAUAUAAGAGACUGGUUUAGAUUAAAUCUGCACCAUAUGUCAUUGCAAAAGUAAACUAACCACAAGUUUGUGGCUUUUUGUUUCUAUGAAAGGUUUGUUUCUAUUCCAGUGUUUAAGGCAGUCUAUAUGAAUGAGUAUCAACAUGGAAUAGAUUUGUAAAUGUGCAUCAACGUAAUUGUAAAUGUACAUCAACGUAAAUAUGUGUGGGAUAUAUUUGUAAAUGGAAUAUACUAUAUAUAUAGUAACAUAAAUAGUACAGAUUUAUGUCUGCAUAGUAUAGACACUGUUUUUUUUUUUCAUGGAAUAUGUCGUGUGUUGUAUAGAUUCAUCUUUCACAUGGUAUUUCUCCCACCGAUCAGCCUUUGUAAGCGAAUUCAAGUUAAUGUUCGUCGGUGACAGAAAGGGGAAAUUUCUGGAAUUCCGGAUAAUAUUUGAUCAUAUGUAAAAUAGACAUAACUCAUGUAAACAUAACAGAUAUUUGGACUCUUGUAUAGGAAAGAUCACACAUGUGAUGGUGCAAUGUAUAUAUUCUCAUUUACAUGUAAUGAUGCAAUGUGUAUAUAGAUUAAACAGAUCAUGGACAUGUAAAGGAAAUGUCAUACAUGCGAAAUGGAAUAUCAUAUUAUCAUUUUCGUUAACCGCACUCAUACAAGUGUAAACUUUAUUAGCAUUUAGUUAACUCAAUUUUUGUAUUUAGUUAACCACAUUCAUACAAAUGUAAAUUUCACACAAAUUUAUAUUAUUAUGUUUAUAAUGAUUAUAUUUUACAUUUAAAAGAAGAUUAUUACAAUGAAUGCUCUAUAUUGUAUAGUUUAAUAUUACAUAUUAUAGUUUAAUAUUACAUAAUAUUAUGUACUAUUUUCAAAUAUUGAUAUUUGGGUUUAAGUUUUAUAUUUGGGUUUAGGAUUUAGUGAUUAGAGUUUAAGGUUUAGCAUUUGGAAGGUGGGAGUUGACGUUGAGUCAGCAUUAACUUCUUUCAUGUAAUUAUAGAUAUUUCAUAAUUUCAUUAAUAUGUACUAUGCUACUUGUUUUGUUCAAUUCUAUUUGGGUUUAUGUUUUAUAUUUGGAUUUAGGGUUUUUGUUUGGAUUUAGGGUUUAUUGAUUAUGGUUUAGGGUGUAGUAUUUAAGGGUUGGGGGUGGGGGUUAGGAUAUGGUUUAUUAUUUAGAUGUUGGGAAGGUGCUGCCGUCCUAUUCUAUUUUUGUGAUAUGGAAUAGAACACUUCGUAAUGGGUGGGAUUAGUAUCCUAUACUACUUCUCCAAUAUGAAAUACUAUAUUUAUUAAAAAUCUGUUUUGAUUCACUCAUUUUAUAUUAUUUAAUUAUUUUUUGAAUUCACUGUUUUUACUAGAUGGUUGUUAUGGAAAUGAACUUACAUUGUGUAAUAAAUGAAAUACUCCAUUUAUUAAAACAAUGUUAUAUUUUCAUCCACUUUUUUUACAACACAUACAUAUGUGGUAACUAAAUGUGUGACGUAGGUGAGUUUACGUGCUUUCAUUGUCACUAAUGCUCGUUAACUCUUGUCCAUUUCUCCCUUCACUGAUGUCAAAACUUUCCCUCUCAUUCACCGGGUAUCUGCAAAUGAAGAAGGUAUAACCGAUUCAAUAGUGGGAUAAAUGUUAGUUUGAUAAUUAUGUCAAAAUCAAUGAUAUUUUCUUAAUUUUCAUUCACAAUAUGGUUAUUCAGAAAAUUAAACCUAUUUAAUAAUGUGCUUAUUUGUGUAAUACCCAUAUAUGAAGUAUAAAUUAUGUAAGUAGCAUUAAUUUUGACAUAAUGUAAUGUCAGGCAUUUACGUCAUUUUCCAGCCGGUUCUACCGUUUUUUUAAUAAGUUUUCAGUCAACGUGUAUAAUAGGAAAGAAGGAAGAGUCAUCCACAUCACAUGUUUAUUGGCCACAUACAUACGCACUGAGUGUUAUAUUCCAUAAAUAAAAAAUCUUAAAUCUCGAUCACUAAAUCCAAACUCAAAUAUAAACUAUUUAUAUAUUUAUAAUAUUUUUACAACAAAAAAAAAUCUGAAAAUAGGAUAUAUUAUUUUGUAAUAUUAUACUAUAUAAAUAGAUAGGAAAGAAGGGGAAGCCAUACACGUCACACGUUUAUUGACCACACACAUGUACAUUGAAUGAUUUAUUUCAUAUGGCCGAAUUAGCUAAGAUUAUAAUCCACCCACAACCCCUAAUACUACUGAACCCUAAAUCCCAAUCACUAAACUUAGACCCAAAUAUAAACAAUAAUAUAUAUAUUUAUAAUAUUUACACAACUGGAAAAAAAUAUUAAAAGAGAUAAAUGAAUGAUGAGAAUAAAACAAAAUAAUAAACUUACGUAAAUGUUAAUUGCAUAGAUAAGAAUAAAGAAGAAAGGAUAAGAGGUUAACCGAUUGUGUUCAAGAAUAGUUUGAUAUAUAUUUUAGAAAAUAAGUUGAAUAUCUUAGUAAAACUUUUUUUAGUUAGUUACCUAAUGAUAAAUUUUUUUUGGUGGUCAUACAGCCAAUUUCCCUUUAAUAAUCACACCUUUUGUUUUGCUGUUCUUUUAGAAACCAGGCUAUUUGACCUACUUGACCAAAUGAUACUAUCUUUUAAAAUAACAAAAUUCUCUUCGUAGUAAAUAAUUUCUACUCUUGUAUUUCUUGUUCUUAACUUGAAAAAAAAAAGUUCACGUAGACGCGGAGUGAAUUUUAUUUUAAAUAUGUUAUAUUUAAUAUUAUAAACAAUACACAUUUUAUUAUCAAUAACUCUUUUUUUACAUUUGAUUAGGGGUGGACAUUCGGAUACCAUUUCGUUCAGUUUAUUUUGGAUCCUUGCGGAUUCGGUUCGGUAAGGAUCUUUGCUGGUUUGGAUAACCAUUAACUUUUUUUAAGAAAAUUAAAGUUUAUAUACUUUAAAUUUUUUAAAAUCUAAAAACAAAAACAAUAUAUAACAUAUAAAUUUGAAUAAUGUAUGCCAAAAUACUUAAACUUAACAUAAAAAUUGGUUUAGGUAAAUAUUUGGAUUUGAAAUCAAUAGAUAUUUUAAGCGUUUUUGGUAUUUUGUGCAUCGUUUGGCUAUUUUAAACAUGAAUUUUUAACUAUUCGUAUAUAUUUCCCAAUAUUUUGGACAACUUGAAAACAUCUUAUAUUUUUUGUAUGUUCUUUCAGAUAUUAAAUUUUAAAAAAUUAAUAUAUUUAAGUAUAUAAAUGUGAUCCAAAUAUACUUGGAUAUCCGAAAUAUUUCGUUUCGGUUCGGGUUCGGUUCUGGUUCUCUAGAUACCAAAUUUUUUUAACCUGUCCCGCUUACUUUCGCUAGGCAUAAUAGGCCUCUCUUUAGAUAUCUGGCCAAAUUUUGGUUAAAGUUCAAUACUACGUUUUCGGAUUGGAUUUAGUUCGAUUUUUUGGAUUCAGGUUAUUUUGUUCAACCUUAUAUUUUUUAUUGUAACAAACUUUUAAACGAAAGUGAUGAUGGUUCAUAUUGAUUUUUGGUAUGCAACAAUUUUUAAACCAAAACACAUCUACUAUGUAUGUGGUCCAUUUAGUUAAUCAUUUAAAAUGGUUGUAAGCCCAUUUAAGGAAAGCGAUGGGUAGAACUAAAAAACGUUACCGUUUUAGAUUGUCAAAAUCGACACUUUUAAAUUAUUCUAUGUUGGUGUUAUGACGAAGAGAAAAAUGGAGUAGGAUUAGGAAAGCAAAUUUGUUGUGCAAUCCAUGUUUUCGUUAGGUGUUUUCAAUAGCUUCUAAAUAAAUCUUGGAUGUAUUGAUUUCUUGUAAGAUUUUUGAAAAUACUAAUUAAUAACAUCUUACAGUUGCUAUAGUAAUCAAUUGUUUCCCAACUAAUAUAUAUGGGAUUAGAGUAAUCACAUAAAUUAAAAAAAAUAUACCUCUUAUUUAUUUACAAUAUUUUUAUGAUAAAUAAAUCAAAAUAAUUAUUUUAUUUAUUGUAUAUGGUAUAUAAUUAAAUUUCAAUGAUAUUGACAUAAAUAUAUAGUAUAUUUUAAUAUAAAUAUUUAUUAUCAUAUCGUUUUAUUAACAUUUGUGUAUUUCCUGUAACAAAAAAAUUAAAUCAUUAAUCACAAAAUUUUGAUGUGAUAUUUUAAAUGCAAAUUUCAAAAUUAACAUAUUUAUGUAAUUUUUAAAUAAUUUUUUAUUGCAUUUAUGGGUAAACCAGUCAGAAUAACCCACAAACGCAAUAAUUUUUAAACGUUGUGUUAGUCACAGCACCCACUUCCGCAAACUCCCGCAACCACAACUGGUGUGUUUGAAUCAGUCAGGAAGUCAAAUAUGAGUAGCACCAAUGACAUUAUAUGUAAUAAGUUUAGUUAAUUAAGGGUAAUUGUAAAAGUUGGCUGAGAAGUGUGAAAUUGGCACAUUAUGAAAUCAUCCUAAUAACAUGCUUGUAAUUAAAAUACCAAAGUUUGUUCCAAAAAAAAUUAAAAUUAAAAUACCAAAGCUAAGUUAUUCUUAAAAAUUGUUUCACUUUUAAUAAUGAAGGGAUAGGGGUCAGUAUGUAUUCCAUACCAAGAGUGUGUAUUUUGAAUAACUUAUGUUUUUAAUUAGAAUUUUUUUGGUUAUGCUUUAUAUGUGAAUCAUUAGUUUGAUCGAUUAACAGUGUUUGAUGUUAGAAUAUUUGAAUUCUAUUAUGUUGAAAUUUUCCAUAAUUCAUUCGUUGGGAUUAUUUUAGUGAAUUUUUGUUUUACUUUAUUUUAGCAGUGUAAAUCUUUUGAUUUGUUUUAUUUUAUGACAUAUGUUUUAUUUAUGCACUUAUAUUUUAUUUUCCAUGUUAUUUUUUCUUUAUGUCUCUAUAUUUGUACAAAUAUAUACUUUUUAAAUCCGUAUCAGUAUUGAAUACUUAAUUGUUUUAGGAAUUCAUGAUGUAAAUUAAAAACAAAAAACAAAAUUUCACAUUUAUAUAAAUAAAAUUACCUUAAUAUUUUGCUUAUAAGCAAAAUCCACCAUGGAUCCUUUUAAUUUUUAAUUCUUAUGAAUUUUUUUUUAUUUUGAAAAUUUUGAAACUUUUAUAUAUUUUUUUGGUUUAAUAUGUAUUGCACUAAAUUUUAGUUGUUUAUUUUUUAAAUUCUAAAAUCUUAGUUUCAAUUAUAUAUAUUAACUUUUGGUUGUGGAUGUCCUUAAAUUUAAAUUUUUCUAAAUUUGAGUUUGGUGACAAAAAGAACUUGAUUAUAUUCGCUCUUUUAAGCUCGACUUUAAUAAAUUCAUCAUAUCUCUAAAAAUACUUCACCAAGUAUGUCAACAUCCAACGCACACGAGUGACAUAAAACGCUUGAUCACCCAAGUACACACAACUCACCAUGAGCUCCAAGUAAUGGCUAACUCUACCAUACAAAUCGUCAACUCUCACGCUACUAAACUAAAUCCACAUCAGACUCUAUUAGGAACCACUUCGUCAUACCAUAGCAUUCAACACAUAACUUGCUCUUCAAGACCAGAAUUUGCUCUCCAAGUUUUCCAAAUGCACUUAAUGGAACUUUUCAUUUCUUUAAUGGAAAAUUCUAUCUUCAAACAAACUGUUUUUUUUUUUGUUUUUUGGAAAAUAUCUAUUUGUCUUCAAACAUAUAUUAUCUUUAUUUUUGCUAGUUCAGAAAACCCACAUUCAUCACGAAACAUAAACUCCAACAUAGUCCAUCUUCAUGACACAUGCAUGAACUACUUCAUCUUAAUAAUUUACGAACUGAUAUAGAACAUCCCAUCAAACUAUAUCUUCAUCUCGGAGUCGGAAUUAAAAUGUCGAUCCUGUUUUUAUUAUAGAUUUGUUUUGUAUGAAAUUUAGCUUUUAAAAACUGAAAAACUCUCUAAACAAUAUUUUAAAUGUUUUUAAGAGGAAAAAAAUCAACAUUUUGUUUUUUACAUGAAAAUGUCAAAAUUAGUCAAUGCGACUAUUACAGCCAUUAAUUAUUAUUUAUAAGUUAUAAUUGACUCAGAAAUUUAGAAAGACAAGAACAUAAAAUUUUAGCAAAAAGAUAUGGUGAACAACUUUUUUUUUGUAAAAAAACAUGAUAACGCAGUAAUUAAUAAUAGUGAGAAUUUGAAAAUACCUUAUUUGUGAUUUGAAUUUUGAAAAUUGCACCCUUAUUUUUUAUAUUUGAAAAUUACACUUUCUUAUAUAUGAAAAGACAGUUUAACCCUAAUUUAAUAUAAAAUAAAAAACUAAAUAAGUUUAAUCGAAAUUAUUUAUGUUUGAAAUAAUUAUAUAUUUGAGAAAAAUACAUGUCACGACUAAGAAACUGAUGUUUACGAAGUUAAUAAAACAAAAAACUCACGAUUCCAAAGAAGUCACUAAGAUUUUUAUAUAACUAUAAUCAUCUUUAAUUACAAUUUGUCACGAUGUUCUUGUGGCAUUCAUGAAGACCGACUGUGUUUUAUUUCUUCUUCUGAAGUACAAUACGAACUGUUAGUGAGUGUUAUUUUUAAUAGGUAUUAGUUUAUUGGAUGUUUUCCAACAUAUUUACGUAGAUCAUACUGUAAAACACAUGAACAAAUUGAUAUCAUAUUUGUAUACUUGGAUGUUGUGGUGUAUGACAGAUCAUUCGUAUGAAGAAUGUUUUCGUACUUCCUAAUAUUGUAAGAACAAUGUUAUGCUCCAUGUUCAUGCCGUUUUUCAGUGGCAGUUUCUGAUUUUUGAUGAUUAUUCCUAUUUUUUUAGUUUGCGUUUUCUAUGCUUGCAUCUGCGAUGACUUCAGGAUAUCCCUCCUAAAAUUAAAAUUUCAUUAAGAUGAGUAACAAAUAUGCAUAUAAUAGAGAACUAGAAGAAGAAAAGGAUAUACGACAUAAAAAUGGAAAACCAAGGGAAGAUACUAAAAUAGAAGAUACUAGUAUUGACCCAUGCGAAGCAUGGGAGUAUUUUAUUUUCUUAGAAAUAUAAUAUAUAUGGAUGCACAUUAUUUUGAAGGUUAUUAGUGAUAAACUUAUUGAAAUGGAAAAAGUUGAUUUCUCUUUUCCAAAACCAACAAAAAUUAUUUGAUAUGAACAAAGCAAAAAGUUACAAUUUGACAUUGUUGUUUCAAGUUACAAUUUUUUUAACAAACAUCACGCCUCCAUUUAGAGAUUGCAAACAUUUGAUAAGAUUCAAAUACUUAUCGAAUUUACUUGAUUACAGGCUAUGUCCUUUACUCCUUUUGAAUGAUUAAUAUAUUAUACCUAUCACGGAAGCGUCUCUUUUGAGUAAUUACAGGCUAUAUCCAAGUGUGUGUCGAAUUUAUAGGAACUGAGAAGACAAAAACUGUGGAAGAAGGAUGAUCGUGUGUAGUGUAGUGCUCUUAGUGGAUUUUGUUUAUAGAAGCCGUUGCUACAAUUUUUUUCCCUCGCCUGCAGUUUUUUUUCAACAUUAUUUUGUUUUUAAAAAAUUGUAAACAUAUCUUAUGUGUCAGAAUUUAAUUGGCUAGGUGACUUGUGAUUUAGUAUAUAAAAGAUGUUUUACAUAAAUGGAGACUAAAAGAAAUAGGAAGAAUAAACGAGGAAAAAGACGCUUAUUUUGUUUAUUUCAAAAAACACUA